CUUUGUUUUCAGAAGGGCUUGAUCAAUAUUUUCUGUUACCCAAGUGUCAUAUCUCAGCCACUGAAAAGUUUUUAAAGUGGUUUAUUACUUGUAGUAUUUUGUUCCUUGAGGAGGUUGUGUGGAUAAUAUUACUUGAGCUUCAUUUUGGGUGAUUUAUAUUCACCAGUUUGUCUCCUCCUGGGUGAACACUGUCUAAUUCCACGAAGUCGUCAAGCCAGUUUAGGCCACUUUCCUUAGAGCUUCAAAUACUUUAGCCGUUUACUCUGAGCUGCCUGCUGUGAACCUUGUUUCUUGUUUGUCAUCUCUGUGAGGAUGGAUGCCACGUCGACCAUUCUCAUCAUUCUUGUGUAUACUUCCCUGAGCUCCCCUCCCUUAAAGGCAUAAGUAGUGCAAGCUGACUCCGAGCACAUCCAGGAAUGCGCUUACUGAUGAGAUAUCGAGGCAAGCUAAAUCAGCAGUUCCUGAGGACGCGCUUGGGGGAUGGCACCCAAAGCCCCUGCAUUAUCUCUUUGUGAUAGUUUGAGCCCCUGCACCUGGAACUGUUUACUUUUCUGUAACUGUUUCUGUAACCAAUUAAUCUUUCUUAAUUGGUUUGCCUGUUCUGCUUCUGUAAAAAUUGCUUCAGCUAAACUCCCUCUCCCCUAUUUAGACCACGAUAUAAAAAGAAAUCUAGCCCCUUCUUCGGGGCCGAGAGAAUUUUGAGCUCUAGCCGUCUUGUUCGCCG
This 724-nucleotide long non-coding RNA is filed under the name Homo sapiens (human). RNAcentral describes it as "non-protein coding lnc-TMEM99-3:1". The record is from RNAcentral. Lineage: Eukaryota; Metazoa; Chordata; Mammalia; Primates; Hominidae.